This 1349-nucleotide long non-coding RNA is filed under the name Fragaria vesca (wild strawberry). RNAcentral describes it as "long non-coding RNA (FVES_LNC004707)". Lineage: Eukaryota; Viridiplantae; Streptophyta; Magnoliopsida; Rosales; Rosaceae. The record is from RNAcentral.
UAGAAGAUAGAUGCUGUAAGAAAAAAAUCAGUCCAGCGAGGAACAAUAGCGGUAUGUAAAACCUGCAAGGAAGAGCACCAAAACAAAUUUCAGUCGACGUAAACAUGAAGGAAAUUGUAUAACUGGAAGACCAAUUAUAAAGCAAAGGUAAAGACCAUGACAGUUUGAUGUUACUAAACUUGUCGAAACUUAAACUCAAAUGCAUAAUACACUUGAAAUACAUACUCAUUAACAAAACCAUGACAGUUUUGAGGCUUUGACCCGAUAAUCAUGAUAGGUUUAGCAUGCAACUAAAUAGAUGAACAGUAAAACCUUGCUGUGGGUAUGGGUAUAAUGUUCACACCAAAAUGUUGCUGAACAGGUUAUUAUGAAUGAAAUUGCAGAGAUAUAAGCAUUCAAACCAAGUCCACCCCUAUUGCAAUAUGCACACAGAAAAAUUAAAAUAGCAUGUUAAAGAAGAGCUUACUGUUCCUCAAAUCAGGAAAGCUUGACAGUUGACACCAAAGCUGCAAAAAUGAAAAAGAGUAGCUCAGUCACAUGAACACACUUGCCAAAUGGUCAAUUUCAUUUUAAGAAAAAAUCAAUCAGAUAAUUAAGAGAAACUACAAACCUAUAUAAGAGGAGAAACAUGAAAUGCAGAAUACCAGGAUGAAAUUGUAGCAGAACCUCAAUGUUUAGGGACUUGUCUUGCUCUCUCCAAAGUGAAAGUGUUUAACUCUAUCAAGAUAUACAUAGCAGUAUACCAGCAUAUGCAAGAAGUUUUAUUUCAAUUCUAUUGAAGCCAAUAAAAAGAGAAGGGUACUGAUUAUGAUUGCCACUCACAUCAAACCUCAUUUGAUUUUCGAUGUGUGCUUGAUGAUUCCUAUUUAGAGGGGAAAAGGUGUUGAGACCAAACCCAUACCUAGGCCCAAUCUACAUCAACAGCCCAUUCACUCCACAAAUAUCUCAAGACAGCUCCUGCAGAAUAGUACUGAAGCUCAAGAACCACAACACCGUUCCAGCUACAGACUUGUCUUCUUCUCUCUUCUGAAGCUCUAAGUUGUAACAUUUGAACUAGUUUGUCUUCUCUAUGAUAGUGGCGGUCCCUGUGCCAUGUGUUUACCCGUUGUUGCAAGAGAGAACUCCAUAUAUGUUGUAGCUUCCUUCCCAGUUGGGUAUCAAUGAAUAUGAAAACUCUUUAAUUUCUCUAUUUUUCCCCUUUUUCUGUAGUUGUAGCCUAUUAUCUGGUAUCAGAGACCAGCUCCGAUGAGAGGCAACCAAGUCCGGCAACCUUCGCCGGCAACCACGGGUGGUGCUGUGCCUCCCCUUCCCACCAUCCCCAACCCAACCCACCCACCCCAAAACAGCUC